RNAcentral lists this small RNA (89 nucleotides) under Peromyscus maniculatus bairdii (prairie deer mouse). Its description in RNAcentral is "7SK RNA (ENSPEMG00000026338.1)". The record is from RNAcentral. Lineage: Eukaryota; Metazoa; Chordata; Mammalia; Rodentia; Cricetidae.
UGUGAGGGGGAUAUGGAUGUGACAUCUGUCAUCUCAUUGAUCAGGGUUGAUUUGGCUAGACAAAUGUCUCCUAACUCUAACCACACCAC